UCGGGUAGUUAAGUAUUCUGUCGUUCAAAAGGCGGCGGAGCUUGUGAUAGACCGCUACCUGAAACCACUGCAAAACCAAACUUAUAUUUGCAUUUAGGAUUGCAAAAUCAUAAAAAUCAAAAUAAGAAAAAGUGUCUAUCAGUUUUGACCGAAAGGUGUCUACAUAGUAAUGAGUUGUUCAUUGCCACAAACACUCUCAAGGUGAAUGUGAUUCUUUCGAAAGGUUUCUAACACCGCAAGUGUGAAUCUGCUCGGCAGGGUAGAAGAAAAUAAGUAAGAAGAGAGUAGGUUAAAACUCAAAGAGUGGUUCACUUAAAUAACCGACAUUGGUUGUUACAUCUCAAAAGGAUGUGGAAACAAAGGGAAUAGAUAAUCCUUUUAAAGACAACUACAAUAUGGUGUAUUCUCAGCCU
Molecule: non-coding RNA, 413 nt
Filed under: unclassified sequences
Description: Giant, ornate, lake- and Lactobacillales-derived (GOLLD) RNA
Rfam family: Giant, ornate, lake- and Lactobacillales-derived (GOLLD) RNA
Source: Rfam by way of RNAcentral